GAGCCUUUCCGUGCCACUGCGGAACCCCUCGCAGGGGUGGGUAGUGAGGGGAAGGCCCAGGCGUCGCGCGGCCAGCCCCUGGGGACACCUUCAGGCUGCUCGAGAGGGUUCCAGCUGCCAGGUCAGGAGCAGAGCACAGCCACCGCGCCCUCCAAGGACACCAAGAAUGGAAUAUAAAUGGCUCAGAAGAAGCUUAACCAUCAAUAAAUGUGGA
Molecule: long non-coding RNA, 214 nt
Filed under: Homo sapiens (human)
Lineage: Eukaryota; Metazoa; Chordata; Mammalia; Primates; Hominidae
Description: HSALNT0338244
Source: RNAcentral